UGCCAUCCGCCGCGGUAAUACGUGUGGGGCAAGCGUUGUUCGGAAUUACUGGGCUUAAAGGGUUCGUAGGCGGUUUUGUAAGUCAGGGGUGAAAGUCGGUGGCCCAACCAUCGAAUUGCCUUUGAUACUGCAUCACUUGAGUGUGUUAGGGGAGAGCGGAACGUGUAGUGUAGCGGUGAAAUGCGUAGAUAUUACACGGAAGGCCGGAGCCGAAGGCGGCUAACUGGCUCGGUACUGACGCUGAGAUGCGAAAGCGUGGGGAGCAAACAGGAUUAGAUA
Molecule: ribosomal RNA, 279 nt
Filed under: uncultured bacterium
Lineage: Bacteria
Description: partial 16S ribosomal RNA
Rfam family: Bacterial small subunit ribosomal RNA
Source: RNAcentral